This is an RNA transcript of Leptonychotes weddellii (Weddell seal), 3128 nucleotides long. RefSeq lists it as uncharacterized. NCBI's taxonomy places the organism in Eukaryota, Metazoa, Chordata, Mammalia, Carnivora, Phocidae. The record is from RefSeq and is a predicted model, not a curated record.
GGUGCCCCCUCGACCCCACUCACUCAGACCCCCGUAUCGGGGAUGUUGGUAUCGUGGGACUUUUACUCCUCCCCGCCGCCUUCAGCUCCCUGCCCUUACCACUUGGGCUUUGGGAGUCGCAUCUGGCCCCUAAUCCAGCGCUUAUGCAGAAGGGUUCCCAUUUCUGUCAGUCAACGGGAUGUGAUAUGGACAGUGUUAAAGACACAGAAGCCAGCAAGUGCUUGGUAGUGAGGCUGCGCUGGGAGUGUUCAGGGAACCCCAGAUCCCACCUAGGUCUUUUGAGAAGAGAGAGCAGGGGCAGGAGUCAGGCCUGGAAUGGAUCUAGACUUCUGUUCUGAGGGUGCUGGGAGCAUUGGAGAUUUAGGGCAGGGGAGGGAGGUGAUCUGACUCAGGUGUUGGGAGACUCCCUCUGGCUACGGACUGUGGCGGAAAAAGGCACCUGAGAGGCUACUGGUGAUGGGUGGCUGCACCAGGGUGGUGGCAAUGGAGAUGGCAGAGGUGCUGGGACUCUGUAUCUGUUAUUUCAGUAGGACCAGCCCAAUUGCCGGAUGUGAGGCAGUGAGAGACACUGACCUAUCAAGGAGUAGCCUAGGUGUUUGGACUCAGUGGUUUGAUGGAUGGAAGAUCUACCAACAGUUGUGGAAGUUGGUGGCUAGAGCAGGCUCCAGGGACAAGAUCUGGAGGGUGGUUUUGGAGGUUUUAAGUGGGAUAUAUCCAGGAAUGGAGGCACCUUGUAGGCACCUGAAUGUGCAGCUCUGGAAUUCUGCAGGGUCAGGGCUGGAAAGAUCCAAAGGGUGGGGCUAGAGAGUGGGCCUAGGAACAAUGUGGGAUGAAGGACGGUGAUGAACGCCCAGACAAGUUGUGGGAAGGGAGGCUGGGGGCCAAGGAGGACCGGGUGCUCGGACUGUGCAGUUGGAAGGUGGUGGCAGGUGUCACUAAGGCACUGUGACGUCUGGGCCUAUGUUAGCAGGGAAUGAAGAGGGGCAGUGUCAGGGAGCCAAGGCUCCUGAUCGGCAGGUGGACCUGGGGUGCAGCCUGUGGCAUGGCAGUGAUGGAUGUAGGGGGUAAAUGGGCUUGGGGUUGGGCUGAUUCACCUGUUUGCAGGCUGACCAGGCUUUUAUAUCUGCCCUCUCUGGGGCCUGAGGGUUUUCAUUCAGGGUUGCAGAGGCAUUCAGUGGUAGAUGGAGGUCACCUGGGCGACAGGCAGUGUCCCAGGCCCAGUGGGCUGGACUCUGAGUAUGCCUCAGAAUGGGAGAGGAGGAUCACGGCAAGUGAGAGCACAGCCUGUGCGAAGGCAGAGGUGAAGGAAGUCCAGCAUCUCAGAGAUCCAAUUGCAGUUCUGAGUGGCUGAAUAUUGAAGCUAGAACAGGGCCAGGUUACCUCCAAAAUCCAGAAAGUCCUACCAAAUGUUUUUUGGUGGUUGAUGGUGUGAGGUGCAAUGGCAGUGGGCCAUUGGAAGUGCAGGCAGGCUGGAGCAGGAUAGGAUUGCGGUUGCUGUGCCAUGCACUCUCAGGACACCACAUGGAGAGUGGCAUGUGGGGAAGCCAGGGAGUUGUGAAUGGAGUGGACUGGUGAGGUUGUGCUGGAAUGGUGUGGGUGCAGAAGUAUGAGGAUGCUGAGUAUGUUAUGUGCCUGAUAGGUGGGAGGGCCAACUGAAGGGCCUUGGGAGCAGGCAUCUGGCCCUAAGGAAGAAUGGUGAGUGAGGGUUUAGUUGCAUCUGAGAGGUGUGAUGUGAGGGACACAGAGAGAAUGGGCUGGGAGGAGAAAGGGUGAGGCCUGUGUGCCUGGACCAGAACAUAGAUGGCACCCAUCCUGUUGUUGCUGUGGGAUGGAUACAGAAUCUAAUAGUAACAUGAUGAGAAAGGCAUCAAUGGCAUUGUGAUCUUGGUAUUCUCUCUGAGGUAGAGUUCUGGAGGGAAAAGGAAGCAUCAGGAUGUGGUGGUGGUGGUGGGGUGUUGAGCCUGUCAGUGAGAGAGAGGAUAGUACCCUUCCGUGUCAAAGGCUUGGAUGUGUCCCUUUGGUUGGUUUUUCUGCCCAAUCAUCAAUCCCUAGGAUCAGCUGAACCCAUCACUGCAGGAUCAGGUGACAUUUGAGGAUGUGGCCGUGUAUUUCUCCAAGGAGGAGCGGAGGCUCCUUAACGUAACGCAGAGGCAUCUAUACCAUGAUGUGAUAUAGGAGAACUUUGAGCUCAUCGGCUCUCUGGGUUGUCUGUGUCAAGUGGAAGAUGAGGAGGACCCUCUUGAGCAGGUGAAGAGCUGUAGGGCCCACUCAUCAGAACACCCCUUCAUGUGUGGGGAGUGCGGCAUGGACUUCCAGGCCAGCUUUGGCCUCAGACAGCAACAAGCCGCUCACAGUAUGGGGAAGCUACCAAGCAGCACCAGGGAGACCUUCCCUCACAGCUCCAGUCUCAGGCAGCACCCAGGAGUCCACACUGGACAGAAACCCUUCAAGUGCAGCAACUGUGGGAAAUCUUUCCUGGAGAGUUCUGCCCUCCUCAACCACCUAAGAACUUAUACUGAACUGAGUUCCUACAGAUGCUCAACAGGUGGAAAUGCCUUCAAGGAGAAAUCAAUUCUUAUUACUCAGAUUAAAAUUCACACUGGAGGAACGUCCUAUAUGUGUAAAGAGUAUGGGAAGGCCCUCAGCCACCCAUCUAAAUUGAGCACACAUCAUAAAGUUCAUACUGAAAUAAAAUGUUACAAGUGCAGUGAAUGUGGGAAAACAUUCAACCACAAAUCCACACUUGUUCAGCACCAGAGAAUUCAUACAGGGGAAAGGCCUUAUAAGUGCAGUGAAUGUGGGAAAGACUUCAGCCUCGCAUCUACCCUUAUUCGGCACCAGAAAGUUCACACUGGGGAAAUGCCCUAUAAAUGCACUGAAUGUGGGGAAUUCUUUAGCAAAACUCCAACCUCAUUUGGCACCAGAGAGCUCACAUUGGAGCAAGACCUUAUGAAUGCAUUGAAUGUGGGAAAGCCUACAGCAGAAUCUGUUGUCUCAGUCAGCACCAGAAGGUUCACGUGAGAGAAAGGCCAUACGAGGGCUGCUGGUGUGGGGAAGUCUGCAUUGAAAUAGCCACGGGUGUUUGGUACCUCCAAGUUCUCAACACAUAAAGGCCCAUGAGUGCAGUA